This 567-nucleotide ribosomal RNA is filed under the name Triticum aestivum (bread wheat). RNAcentral's name for it is "partial small subunit ribosomal RNA". Lineage: Eukaryota; Viridiplantae; Streptophyta; Magnoliopsida; Poales; Poaceae. The record is from RNAcentral.
AUGCUUGGUCAGAUUACUCAGUACGAGCCUUCUUCAAAAGAAUUGACUACCACGGAUCUCAUUGUUGAGGCUGAAGUUGCUGCUUCUAAAGUUCCAUUGGUGGAAAGCAUUUGCACUUUGAAAAAUCUACAGUCUGACACAAAUGAAUGUUCUGCAACAACAACCAUAGACGGAAAAGAGACUUCUGUUGCCAAUGUUCUUCCGGCGUCAAAUAUAUGUGCUUCAACACAUCAGCCAGAAUUAAUCUCUGCAGUCAUCAUUCCCACAAGCACAUUUAUCCUUCCCAACAAUGCUACUGACCAAGUCCAGUCACCUCAUGUUCAAACUGAGAAAAACAACAUGCCAAGUGAAGAUUCAUCAAUCAUGAAGAUUGUUUGUUCUGAUGUUCAACCGGAUAGUUCUUCUCUUGCACCUGUUACUACUACUAUCAAUGGGCCUGGACAUGGCAACCCAGUGGAUCAGCCAGAGAGUAAUGCAUUUGCUGUUCAACAUGCAAAACAUGAUUCAACAAAAAAUGUUUUGCAUGAAGUACGUAAUGCGUUACUACUGCAGAUAGUGUUGAUGUAA